UCGAGCGGAUGCAGUGGAGCAGUGCUGCCUUGCUUCGUGGGCAGAGGGGUGAGUAAGGCCUAUGAAUCUGCCUGGUAUUGGGGGUGGACGUUUCGAAAGGGACGCUUAUACCGCUAACGUCCUACAGCAGAAGGCAGGGGACCGUCAGGCCUUGGCCUUGCACAUGAGCCUAGGUCGAAUUCGCUUUUUGGUGGGGUAAAGGCCUACCAAGGCCACGAUCCCUAUCUGGUCUGAGACGAUGAGGAUUCUCACUGGAACUGAAACACGGUCCCGACCCCUACUCCAGGCGGCAGUGGGGAAGAUUGGAAUAUGGGCAAGGGCCUGAUCCUGCCAUGCCCCGUGUGUGUAGAAGGUCUUCGGAUUGUAAAGCACUUUCCCUUGGGAGGAAGGGCAAUUCCUUCAUACCUUGCUGCUUUGACGUUACCAACACAAUAAGCACCGGCUAACUUCAUGCUCGCGCCCGCGGUAAUAGUAAUGGUGCAGGCGUUAAUCUUAAUUACUGUUACUGAACCUCACGCAUGUGUAUGGGUAAGAUGGAUUUCAUAUCCCCGGCCUCGACCUGAGAACUGCAUCUGUAACUGCCAGAGUACAAUAAGGUAGAGGGAGAUGGAAUUUCCUGUCUAGCUGUAAAAUGCAUAUAUAUAGAAAUGAACACGAGUGGCGAUGGCGACCACCUGCAUACUGACAGUGAGCGUGCGAGAGCGUGGGAGCAAACAGGAUUAGAUACCUUGGUUGUCCACGCCGUAAACGAUGUAGACUAUCUGUUGGGCUCCUUGAGAUGUUAGUGGCGCAGCUAACGCGAUAAGUCGCCCGCCUGGGGAGUACGUCCGCAAGGUUAAAAUUCAAAUGAAUGGACGGGGGCCCGCACAAGCGUUGGAGCAUGUGGUUUAUUUCGAAGCAACGGGAAGACCCUUCCCUGCCCUUGACAUGUCAGGAAUUUCGCAGAGAUGAGAGGGUCCUUUCGGGAAUCGGAACCCAGUUGCUGCAUGGCGUUGUUCACUUCUUUUCUUGAGAUGUUGGGUUAAUUCCCCUAACGAGGGCAACCCUUUUCCUUAGUUACCACCACGUUUUGGUGGGCAUUUUAAGGGGACUGCCGGGGACAAACCGGAGGAAGGUGGGGAUGACGUCAAGUCAUCAUGGCCCUUACGGCCAGGGCUACCCACUAGCUACAAUGGUCGGUACAGAGGGUUCACAAGCCGGGAGGUGGAGCUAAUCCCAUAAAACCGAUUGUAGUCCGGAUCGCAGUCUGCAACUCGAUUGCGUGAAGUCGGAAUCGCUAGUAAUCCAGAAUCAGCAUGUCAGCGGUGAAUACGUUCCCGGGCCUUGUACACACCGCCCGUCACACCAUGGGAGUGGGUUGCUCCAGAAGUCAGCUAGUCUAAACCGC
Molecule: ribosomal RNA, 1387 nt
Filed under: Pseudomonas nitroreducens
Lineage: Bacteria; Pseudomonadati; Pseudomonadota; Gammaproteobacteria; Pseudomonadales; Pseudomonadaceae
Description: bacterial SSU rRNA
Rfam family: Bacterial small subunit ribosomal RNA
Source: RNAcentral